Molecule: ribosomal RNA, 250 nt
Filed under: uncultured prokaryote
Description: partial 16S ribosomal RNA
Rfam family: Bacterial small subunit ribosomal RNA
Source: RNAcentral
UACGUAGGGGGCAAGCGUUAUCCGGAUUUACUGGGUGUAAAGGGAGCGUAGACGGCCAAGCAAGUCUGAAGUGAAAACCCAAGGCUCAACCAUGGGACUGCUUUGGAAACUGUUAGGCUAGAGUGCAGGAGAGGUAAGUGGAAUUCCUAGUGUAGCGGUGAAAUGCGUAGAUAUUAGGAGGAACACCAGUGGCGAAGGCGGCUUACUGGACUGUAACUGACGUUGAGGCUCGAAAGCGUGGGGAGCAAAC